Molecule: transfer RNA, 73 nt
Organism: Methylocaldum sp.
Lineage: Bacteria; Pseudomonadati; Pseudomonadota; Gammaproteobacteria; Methylococcales; Methylococcaceae
Rfam family: tRNA
About the family: Transfer RNA (tRNA) molecules are approximately 80 nucleotides in length. Their secondary structure includes four short double-helical elements and three loops (D, anti-codon, and T loops). Further hydrogen bonds mediate the characteristic L-shaped molecular structure. tRNAs have two regions of fundamental functional importance: the anti-codon, which is responsible for specific mRNA codon recognition, and the 3' end, to which the tRNAs corresponding amino acid is attached (by aminoacyl-tRNA synthetases). tRNAs cope with the degeneracy of the genetic code in two manners: having more than one tRNA (with a specific anti-codon) for a particular amino acid; and 'wobble' base-pairing, i.e. permitting non-standard base-pairing at the 3rd anti-codon position.
Source: Rfam
GUCCCCAUCGUCUAGAGGCCCAGGACACCGCCCUCUCACGGCGGCGACGGGGGUUCGAAUCCCCCUGGGGACG